UUUACGGGAGGCAGCAGUAGGGAAUUUUCCGCAAUGGGCGAAAGCCUGACGGAGCAAUACCGCGUGAGAGAUGACUGCCUAUGGGUUGUAAACCUCUUUUUUCAGGGAGGAAUAAAUGACGUGUACCUGAAGAAUAAGCAUCGGCUAACUCCGUGCCAGCAGCCGCGGUAAU
This 172-nucleotide ribosomal RNA is filed under the name uncultured bacterium. RNAcentral's name for it is "partial 16S ribosomal RNA". It matches the Rfam family "Bacterial small subunit ribosomal RNA", at positions 338 to 524 of the family's 1533-position model. The record is from RNAcentral.